RNAcentral lists this transfer RNA (72 nucleotides) under Heterocephalus glaber (naked mole-rat). It matches the Rfam family "tRNA". From Rfam's summary of the family: Transfer RNA (tRNA) molecules are approximately 80 nucleotides in length. Their secondary structure includes four short double-helical elements and three loops (D, anti-codon, and T loops). Further hydrogen bonds mediate the characteristic L-shaped molecular structure. tRNAs have two regions of fundamental functional importance: the anti-codon, which is responsible for specific mRNA codon recognition, and the 3' end, to which the tRNAs corresponding amino acid is attached (by aminoacyl-tRNA synthetases). tRNAs cope with the degeneracy of the genetic code in two manners: having more than one tRNA (with a specific anti-codon) for a particular amino acid; and 'wobble' base-pairing, i.e. permitting non-standard base-pairing at the 3rd anti-codon position. The record is from Rfam by way of RNAcentral. Lineage: Eukaryota; Metazoa; Chordata; Mammalia; Rodentia; Bathyergidae.
AGGGAUGUAGCUCAGUGGUGCCGCAUCUGCCUGUCAAGCACGAGGUUCUGAGUUCAAUUCCCAGUACCCCGA